UCUUUGGGGUGGACUAGACUGCUAGUCGAGCGCGUCAGCCAAUACGACGCGCGGCACACAGCUCAGUAACACGUGGCUAAUCUGCCCUUAGGACGAGAACAACCCCGGGAAACUGGGGCUAAUUCUUGAUAGGCGAAGAACUCUGGAAUGAGUCUUUACCUAAAUAGAUUCACGUUAUCCUCGUGAACCUGCCUAAGGAUGAGGCCGCGACCGAUCAGGUUGUUGGCGAGGUAAUGGCUCACCAAGCCUUUUACCGGUGCGGGCCGUGGGAGCGGGAGCCCGGAGAUGGGCACUGAGACAAGGACCCAGGCCCUACGGGGCGCAGCAGUCGCGAAACCUUUGCAAUAAGCGAAAGCUUGACAGGGCUAUCCCGAGUGCCAUCCGCUGAGGAAGGCUUUUACCCAGUCUAGAACGCUGGGGGAAUAAGGAGAGGGCAAGUCUGGUGUCAGCCGCCGCGGUAAUACCAGCUCUCCGAGUGGUGUGGAUGUUUAUUGGGCCUAAAGCAUCCGUAGCUGGCUAGGUAAGUCCCUUGUUAAAUCCACCGAAUUAAUCGUUGGAUCGCGGGGGAUACUGCUUGGCUAGGGGACGAGAGAGGCAGACGGUAUUUUCGGGGUAGGGGUGAAAUCCUAUAAUCCCGGGAAGACCACCAGUGGCGAAGGCUGUCUGCUAGAACGCGCCCGACGGUGAGGGAUGAAAGCUGGGGGAGCGAACCGGAUUAGAUACCCGGGUAGUCCCAGCUGUAAACGAUGCAGACUAGGUGUUUGGACGGCCACGUGCCGUUCUAGUGCCGCAGGGAAGCUGUUAAGUCUGCC
This 812-nucleotide ribosomal RNA is filed under the name uncultured archaeon. RNAcentral describes it as "bacterial SSU rRNA". It matches the Rfam family "Archaeal small subunit ribosomal RNA", at positions 29 to 825 of the family's 1478-position model. The record is from RNAcentral.